Syngnathoides biaculeatus (alligator pipefish) is the source of this 1245-nucleotide long non-coding RNA. RefSeq lists it as uncharacterized. The record is from RefSeq and is a predicted model, not a curated record. Lineage: Eukaryota; Metazoa; Chordata; Actinopteri; Syngnathiformes; Syngnathidae. The transcript has 3 exons.
CACUAAUUGACCAAGCAUUUAAGUGGUGAAUAUGUCUCGGCAUUUGCCAGUUCGUUGCGUAUGCUUUACUGCAUCCUGGGAUACUCCACUACUGUGUGGGCUAAGUCGACACCCGGGCAAAGACCGUGGCCAUGGCAUUUGAGACCCUUUCCGAGACUGGGCCUUGACUUUGUGUCUGGUGACUGAGGUUUGACAGGAAGACGAAGAAAGUGGAGACAUCUCUGAUGAGUAGGAAACUCACACACUCAUGACGAAUGAGUGAAAUGCGCAUCUUGGUGACUGCGACAGAAGCAAAACCUCAAGAACACUUGCCCCUUUCGAGUAGACAAAGUCGUCUAUAUAACAAAGAACAGGGCAACGGGUGUCCUUGAACCAUUGGUGGUGGCAGUGUGAUAGUCUGGGGCUGAAUUCUGCUGGGCACCAGAAUAUCCUGAAGGAGAACAUCCAACCAUCAGUUCAUGCCCUCAAACUCAAGCGCUCUUGGAUCAUGCAGUAGGACAAUGAUCCGAAACACACCAAGUCCACCUCUGAAUGGUUAAAAAAAAAAAAAAGCCUUUCUGAGCAGCCAAGUCAAAGUCCUGAUUUAAAUAAGAGAUGCUGCAGUGUAACUUUAAACAAGCAGUGCAUGCUCGAAAACCCUCCAAUAUUUCAGAGUUGAAACAAUUUUACUAAGAAAAGUGGGACAGAAUUCCUCCAGAGCGAUGUGAAAGAUUCAUCACAAUUAUCGUAAAUGCUUGACUUCAGUUAUUAAUGCCAAGGGUGGCACAACCUGUGAUUCGGUUUAGGAGACAAUUACUUUUUCACAGAUGCUCAGAAAAAUUUGGAUUUUUUUUUUGUGCCCGAAUAAAUGUAAUUGUCAUUUGAAAAUGGCAUUUUGUAUUUCCUUGGAUUGUCUCUAAGUGAUAUCAAAAUUGGUUUGAUGAUUUGAUUCCUUUGUGUGUGUAAUAAAAAAACAGAUCAGAAAAAAAAAGCGACUGCACCCUGCCCAGUCCUAAUAUAUGCAUUCUUUCAAAUGAUUUGUUGGUACAACUCUUUAAAAGCAUUUUCCUUUCUUUGCUGUUACAGUAAUCUCACUGUGUAAAAAUGGGAUCAACCCUCUCACCUGCAGUUUUCCUCGAAUGCUGUACUUUGUUAAUGUUGUAUUGUUGUGUAGCUAGGAUCACAUCACAGUACCUUAUUGAUAAGAACACCAAAAACAAUGCUACAACAAUGUAUCCUCUAAAUAACAUACUGCAUAUCCUUGCU